AACAGUUGGAAACGACUGCUAAUACCGCAUAAGCCCACGACCCGGCAUCGGGCAGAGGGAAAAGGAGCAAUCCGCUUUGAGAUGGCCUCGCGUCCGAUUAGCUAGUUGGUGAGGUAAUGGCCCACCAAGGCGACGAUCGGUAGCCGGACUGAGAGGUUGAACGGCCACAUUGGGACUGAGACACGGCCCAGACUCCUACGGGAGGCAGCAGUGGGGAAUAUUGCACAAUGGGGGAAACCCUGAUGCAGCGACGCCGCGUGGAGGAAGAAGGUCUUCGGAUUGUAAACUCCUGUUGUUGAGGAGGAUAAUGACGGUACUCAACAAGGAAGUGACGGCUAACUACGUGCCAGCAGCCGCGGUAAAACGUAGGUCACAAGCGUUGUCCGGAAUUACUGGGUGUAAAGGGAGCGCAGGCGGGAAGGCAAGUUGGAAGUGAAAUCCAUGGGCUCAACCCAUGAACUGCUUUCAAAACUGUUUUUCUUGAGUAGUGCAGAGGUAGGCGGUAUUCCCGGUGUAGCGGUGGAAUGCGUAGAUAUCGGGAGGAACACCAGUGGCGAAGGCGGCCUACUGGGCACCAACUGACGCUGAGGCUCGAAAGUGUGGGUAGCAAACAGGAUUAGAUACCCUGGUAGUCCACACCGUAAACGAUGAUUACUAGGUGUUAGAGGAUUG
This 672-nucleotide ribosomal RNA is filed under the name uncultured Bacillota bacterium. RNAcentral's name for it is "bacterial SSU rRNA". It matches the Rfam family "Bacterial small subunit ribosomal RNA", at positions 145 to 833 of the family's 1533-position model. The record is from RNAcentral. Lineage: Bacteria; Bacillati; Bacillota.